This 326-nucleotide ribosomal RNA is filed under the name uncultured Mycobacterium sp. Its description in RNAcentral is "bacterial SSU rRNA". It matches the Rfam family "Bacterial small subunit ribosomal RNA", at positions 569 to 892 of the family's 1533-position model. The record is from RNAcentral. Lineage: Bacteria; Bacillati; Actinomycetota; Actinomycetes; Mycobacteriales; Mycobacteriaceae.
UCGUAGGUGGUUUGUCGCGUUGUUCGUGAAAUCUCACGGCUUAACUGUGAGCGUGCGGGCGAUACGGGCAGACUAGAGUACUGCAGGGGAGACUGGAAUUCCUGGUGUAGCGGUGGAAUGCGCAGAUAUCAGGAGGAACACCGGUGGCGAAGGCGGGUCUCUGGGCAGUAACUGACGCUGAGGAGCGAAAGCGUGGGGAGCGAACAGGAUUAGAUACCCUGGUAGUCCACGCCGUAAACGGUGGGUACUAGGUGUGGGUUUCCUUCCUUGGGAUCCGUGCCGUAGCUAACGCAUUAAGUACCCCGCCUGGGGAGUACGGCCGCAAG